This 253-nucleotide ribosomal RNA is filed under the name uncultured bacterium. RNAcentral describes it as "partial 16S ribosomal RNA". It matches the Rfam family "Bacterial small subunit ribosomal RNA", at positions 524 to 776 of the family's 1533-position model. The record is from RNAcentral.
UACGGGGGGGGCUAGCGUUAUUCGGAAUCAUUGGGCGUAAAGGGCGCGUAGGCGGCGCGGUAAGUCAAAGGUGAAAUCCCUCGGCUCAACUGAGGAACUGCCUUUGAAACUGCCGUGCUUGAGUCCGGGAGGGGGUAGCGGAAUUCCCAGUGUAGCGGUGAAAUGCGUAGAUAUUGGGAGGAACACCAGUGGCGAAGGCGGCUACCUGGACCGGUACUGACGCUGAUGUGCGAAAGCGUGGGGAGCAAACAGG